RNAcentral lists this ribosomal RNA (253 nucleotides) under uncultured bacterium. Its description in RNAcentral is "partial 16S ribosomal RNA". It matches the Rfam family "Bacterial small subunit ribosomal RNA", at positions 524 to 776 of the family's 1533-position model. The record is from RNAcentral.
UACGGAGGGUGCAAGCGUUAUCCGGAUUCACUGGGUUUAAAGGGUGCGUAGGUGGGUCUGUAAGUCAGUGGUGAAAUCCCCGAGCUUAACUUGGGAAUUGCGCUCGAAACUACGUGGCUCGAGUGUGGCAGAGGAAGGUGGAAUUCCACGUGUAGCGGUGAAAUGCGUAGAGAUGUGGAGGAACACUGAUGGCGAAGGCAGCCUUCUGGGCCAACACUGACGCUCAUGCACGAAAGCGUGGGGAGCAAACAGG